UUUCAGAGGACACCCCCUUUUUUACCCCCUCCUAAUCCCUGACCUGCCUAAAGCCUGUCAUUCAGGAGAGACAAACUACCGUCUUUCCAGGAGACUACUCCUCGCAAAGCAAGCUCUUCCUGAAGCCAAUCCCAGCUGCCAGGCUAGAACAACUUGAGGAGACACACCAAACCUCCAGACUAGGCUUUUGAAGCCCACCGUGAUCCCAGGCUGGAGCACUCCCAGCCGGAAUGAGCUCCCCAGAGCCAGGCACCCAGGCUGAGCCCUCCCAAGCAUCCCCCCAGGGCUGGCAAAAGCCCCAGGGCCUGGUGGUUUGGUCAGUCAGCCCUUUCCUCACCUCAAGAUGGGGCCUCAAGGAAAGGGAGGAGCGAGAAGUGGCACCCUUUUAUAAUGUGGAUGAAAACAUGUUCAUUGAAAUGAUCUUCCCGUGAAGCUGCAGAACUGCGUUUAGUGGGGGAAGAAUGGGACAUAGGUGAUAAAUGUUUCUAGGACUGACUCACCUAGCUCUUGAUACUACUGCUAAAUUAAAUUACAGUUCCUAUGAAACCUGCCUGGAGAGAACAAUUUUAAAGCAAUUCUCAUGGUAAUCAGUGGAAGGAAACCUUGGGAUCAAUCAAAGUACUGCUGGAGAAGAUGAAUUAUGGAGAGACUUUAUCUUUAAUUGACUUUGGAUAUAGUUAUAGGUAAAAUCCUCUUCUUACCUAAGGUCUUAGUUGACAUACAUGAACAAGUGAUUCAGUGGAAGGUGUAUGGGGAAGGCAGCAACAACCCAUGAAUGCUACAUAAAAUAGCCAAAGCCGUUCAUCUUAGUGACAGUUAUUAACGAAACACCAGAAAGCUCCUUUCUCCAGUGGAUGGUCUCAGUGAGCUUUGGGAUAUCAGUGCAAUCACCCAUAUCAUCCCCGCAGAGCAAAUCGAGGGUGUUUUCAACGAUAACACAGAGUCGAAUGAAGCCAUUACUGCGAAAUUUCACAGAGUUUGGAAAACUAGACUGCGUGAAUGUCCUUCCUCCAAAUGUGGGAAACACUAGCUCAGCCAUACUAUCCUCCAUGGCACCUUCUUGGAGGAUUGUGAAUGUACCUAUCAAAAUCCCUUCGAUUUCAUGGUUUUUCACUGGCUACUGAUACCAAUGAAGUGCUUCAGGAAUCCUUCCAUGCCCAAAGCAGCUGUUUUGCACCUGGUUUUAUGGGAAACUGUGAAAUGAGAUUUUCUCAAGAUUUUUGGGGGGUUGAGGGUGGGACAAGACCUGGUGAAUUUAAAACAACUAUAUGAAGCUUUAUUACUCAAGGAAAAUCAUACAUUCUGGAAGAAUUCAUUACUAGAAAUCUAAUGAACUAUCAGGACCUCAUAUUUCAUGUUUUAAUCUUUUACUGAUUUCCAAUAAAUAUUUUUAAUCAGGAAGGCUAGCUACGGUGACUAAUCUUGGAAAAAAUCUUUCAUACCAAGAGUAAGUCACAAAAGAUUUGCUUUUCUGUACACAAAUAACUCACAGAGAAUAAACAUAAUACUAUAAACUGAUUUUCAGUUAUACA
Long non-coding RNA from Grus americana (Whooping crane), 1532 nucleotides. RefSeq lists it as uncharacterized. NCBI's taxonomy places the organism in Eukaryota, Metazoa, Chordata, Aves, Gruiformes, Gruidae. The transcript has 2 exons. The record is from RefSeq and is a predicted model, not a curated record.